UGGGAAACUGCCUGAUGGAGGGGGAUAACUACUGGAAACGGUAGCUAAUACCGCAUGACCUCGCAAGAGCAAAGUGGGGGACCUUCGGGCCUCACGCCAUCGGAUGUGCCCAGAUGGGAUUAGCUAGUAGGUGGGGUAAUGGCUCACCUAGGCGACGAUCCCUAGCUGGUCUGAGAGGAUGACCAGCCACACUGGAACUGAGACACGGUCCAGACUCCUACGGGAGGCAGCAGUGGGGAAUAUUGCACAAUGGGCGCAAGCCUGAUGCAGCCAUGCCGCGUGUGUGAAGAAGGCCUUAGGGUUGUAAAGCACUUUCAGCGAGGAGGAAGGGUUCAGUGUUAAUAGCACUGAUCAUUGACGUUACUCGCAGAAGAAGCACCGGCUAACUCCGUGCCAGCAGCCGCGGUAAUACGGAGGGUGCAAGCGUUAAUCGGAAUUACUGGGCGUAAAGCGCACGCAGGCGGUUUGUUAAGUCAGAUGUGAAAUCCCCGAGCUUAACUUGGGAACUGCAUUUGAAACUGGCAAGCUAGAGUCUUGUAGAGGGGGGUAGAAUUCCAGGUGUAGCGGUGAAAUGCGUAGAGAUCUGGAGGAAUACCGGUGGCGAAGGCGGCCCCCUGGACAAAGACUGACGCUCAGGUGCGAAAGCGUGGGGGAGCAAACAGGAUUAGAUACCCUGGUAGUCCACGCUGUAAACGAUGUCGACUUGUAUGUUGUGCCCUUGAGGCGUGGGCUUCCCGGAUCUAAACGCGUU
This 751-nucleotide ribosomal RNA is filed under the name Serratia liquefaciens. RNAcentral describes it as "bacterial SSU rRNA". It matches the Rfam family "Bacterial small subunit ribosomal RNA", at positions 118 to 861 of the family's 1533-position model. The record is from RNAcentral. Lineage: Bacteria; Pseudomonadati; Pseudomonadota; Gammaproteobacteria; Enterobacterales; Yersiniaceae.